AUGUUUGAUGUUCUAACGUUGGCCCCUUAUCGGGGUUGCGGACAGUGUCUGGUGGGUAGUUUGACUGGGGCGGUCUCCUCCCAAAGAGUAACGGAGGAGCACGAAGGUUAGCUAAUCCUGGUCGGACAUCAGGAGGUUAGUGCAAUGGCAUAAGCUAGCUUGACUGCGAGCGUGACGGCGCGAGCAGGUGCGAAAGCAGGUCAUAGUGAUCCGGUGGUUCUGAAUGGAAGGGCCAUCGCUCAACGGAUAAAAGGUACUCCGGGGAUAACAGGCUGAUACCGCCCAAGAGUUCAUAUCGACGGCGGUGUUUGGCACCUCGAUGUCGGCUCAUCACAUCCUGGGGCUGAAGUAGGUCCCAAGGGUAUGGCUGUUCGCCAUUUAAAGUGGUACGCGAGCUGGGUUUAGAACGUCGUGAGACAGUUCGGUCCCUAUCUGCCGUGGGCGCUGGAGAAUUGAGGGGGGCUGCUCCUAGUACGAGAGGACCGGAGUGGACGCAUCACUGGUGUUCGGGUUGUCAUGCCAAUGGCAUUGCCCGGUAGCUAAAUGCGGAAGAGAUAAGUGCUGAAAGCAUCUAAGCACGAAACUUGCCCCGAGAUGAGUUCUCCCUGAGACUUUAAGUCUCCUGAAGGAACGUUAAAGACGAUGACGUUGAUAGGUCGGGUGUGUAAGCGUAGCGAUACGUUGAGCUAACCGAUACUAAUGAACCGUGAGGCUUAACCUU
Molecule: ribosomal RNA, 721 nt
Filed under: Klebsiella aerogenes
Lineage: Bacteria; Pseudomonadati; Pseudomonadota; Gammaproteobacteria; Enterobacterales; Enterobacteriaceae
Description: partial 23S ribosomal RNA
Rfam family: Bacterial large subunit ribosomal RNA
Source: RNAcentral